AACGUAGGUUCCGAGCGUUAUCCGGAUUUACUGGGCGUAAAGCGCGUUCAGGCGGUUUGGCAAGUCGGGCAUGAAAUCUCUCGGCUCAACCGGGAGAGGUUGUCCGAUACUGCUGGACUUGAGGGCAGUAGAGGGUGGUGGAAUUCCGGGUGUAGUGGUGAAAUGCGUAGAUAUCCGGAGGAACACCAGUGGCGAAAGCGGCCACCUGGACUGUACCUGACGCUGACACGCGAAAGCUAGGGGAGCAAACAGG
This 253-nucleotide ribosomal RNA is filed under the name uncultured bacterium. Its description in RNAcentral is "partial 16S ribosomal RNA". It matches the Rfam family "Bacterial small subunit ribosomal RNA", at positions 524 to 776 of the family's 1533-position model. The record is from RNAcentral.